Molecule: long non-coding RNA, 5579 nt
Filed under: Olea europaea subsp. europaea
Lineage: Eukaryota; Viridiplantae; Streptophyta; Magnoliopsida; Lamiales; Oleaceae
Source: RNAcentral
CAAAAAUUCAUUAUUCAAACCAUUGUUUUUCGUAAAUAGUCUCUAUCAAGCACAGGCUUCACACUGGUCUGCUGGGCUCGCCCCUAUUCAAAUUCUUCUUGAGGGUAAAUGCAGGCACCUAAGCUGAAAUGGUUAAAAGUGGCUCACCAUACACUGUUCUGGGAUAGGGUUUCUUCUCGCUCAACACGCCUAAUCAAAGAGGGCAAGUUUUGCGGUAAGAUCUCUUAAAACCGAUCUAGAAAUUUCUUUGCUUUCCUCGAUUAUUUAUGAAGACUUUGAGAUUGUUCCGCGGACCCACUUUCAAAUAGAAAUAAAUUUGCCAAAAUAGGAAAAACCCUAGGCUUAAUUCUAGGCUUUCAGCGGAGAAAUGGAUGAAAAUGAAGCUGGCGAGCAGUUUCAUCGGAACGAAGCCAUCUCCGCUGUAGCUGACGAGGGUUUCCUUGGCGAAGAGGAAGAUGACUACGAAGAUCUGUAUAAUGAUGUUAAUAUUGGUGAGAACUUCCUCCAGUCGAUCAGAAAGAACGAGGAUAAUCUAGGUCAGGGAAAUGAGCAAUUAUCGGAGAACAAAGCCGAGCCGGUUCCUCCUCUGCGUCAAGCACCACAGCCGGUAGUGAGGAGUGCGGGUGGGGCUAUACAAGACGAGGGAGAGUCGGCAAGGGUUCCUGUUAGAGUAGAGGCUCAUCAGAAUAUAGGGUUUAGGGGAAAUGACAUCAGUAAUGAGAUUGGGGCUGGUAGAGGUUUGGGAGUGACGGCUAGAAAUGAAUCCGGGAUGCCAUGUGUUGGGGGGCUCAGGGUUGAGCUAAAGCAGUCAUCCAAUAAACCAGCCGAGUUCGUAGAGCAGACUGUGAAUAACAGUGCUCAAAAUAAUCCACCAAUGGUUCAGCAUCAGCAGCCACGUGCUGCUAAUAUCGGAGCUGCAGCAAGCCCAGCAAAUGUUGGAAUUGUGGCGAAUGUGACAGGGACCGGAGGUUACAUGCCUGGAAGUGGUGUUGGCAGCAUGACAGGUGGUGGUGGUGGAGGAACAAUUCUUUUUGUUGGUGAUUUGCAUUGGUGGACAACUGAUGCUGAGCUGGAGGAAGAGCUAAGCAAGUAUGGGCCAGUAAAGGAGGUAAAGUUUUUUGAUGAGAAAGCUAGUGGGAAGUCAAAAGGUUACUGUCAGGUGGAAUUUUUUAACCCUGAUAGUGCCACUGCCUGUAAAGAAGGAAUGAAUGGGCAUUUGUUUAAUGGACGGCCAUGUGUAGUUGCAUAUGCUUCGCCCUAUAGUAUUAAGAAAAUGGGUGAAGCUCAGUUAAAUAGAAACCAAAAUGCAGCCCAGCCAGCGGUUAAUCAACCGCGAAGGGGGCCUGGAGAUGUGCCUGGUAAACAUGGCGGAGGUGGCAACAUGGCUAUGAGUGGGAACUAUCAAGGCGGUGGUGAUGGUCACAGAGGUUUUGGGAGAGGGAGUUGGGGUAGAGGUAAUGGUCAAGGAGGUAUGGGAAAUAGGGGGCCUGUGGGUCCAAUGAGGAACAGGGGUGGUGGAAUAGGUGGUCGUGGUUUAAUGGGAAACGGUAAUGGAUUUGCGCAGGGGAUUGGUGCAACUCCUUCAUUAUUACAUCCUCAAACAAUGAUGGGUCAGGGAUUCGAUCCUGCUUUUGGAGCCCCCAUGGGGCGAAUGGGUAGUUAUGGAGGAUUUCCUGGUGCGCCUACCCCACCCUUUUCAGGAAUGUUAUCUUCAUUUGGACCUGUUGGAAAUGUUGGUUUGCCUGGUGUUGCUCCCCACGUGAAUCCGGCAUUUUUUGGGAGAGGGAUGCCCAUGAAUAGCAUGGGCAUGAUGCAUGCUCCUGGAUUUGAUGGGCCUAAUAUGGGCACGUGGUCAGAUCCUAACAUGGGUGGAUGGACAGGUGGGGAGCAUGGUGGGAGAGCAGGAGAGUCUAGUUAUGGAGAAGAAGCUGCAUCUGACCAUCAGUAUGGAGAAGGAAGUCAUGAUAAAGGGCCUUGGACAAAUGCUACAAAAGAGAAGGACAGAGGUUCAGAAAGGGAUAGGUCUGGCUCUUCAGACAGGAGGUAUCGAGAUGAUAGAGAACCAGGCCAUGACAGAGAUAUGCCUCGAGAAAAAGAUACGGGGCAUGAUCAUGAGUGGUCAGAAAGGAGGCAUCGCGAUGGCAGUGUUGGUGGACGAGACAGGGAGAGGGACCGGGACCGAGAUCCUGGUCAUUCCCGAGGCCGCGAGCGUGAUCGUGGGAGGGAACGUGACCAUGAUCGCCAUCGGGAUGACAGAGUUGGAUAUGCUGAUCAUCAUAGGUACAGGGACCGUGAGCCUGAAUACGAUGACGAAUGGGACAGGGUAAGAUCAUCCAGGACUCACGGAAAAUCAAGACAAUCACAUGAGGACGAGCAUAGGUCAAGAUCAAGGGAUGCUGAAUAUGGGAAGAGGCGACGCCUAACCUCUGAGUAAUUAGGUGUUCACUGCAUCUCUCAGUAUUGUAGUUCAGAAAGAAACUGAUUAGUCACUAGGUAAACUUUGGUAGACCAUGAUCAUUCAGAAUCUUUUACUAGCUGCUUUGUUGGAUGCCUGGCUUAGGUUGACAGUGAACAGUCAUGCUCUUCAACAACUUCCGUGGUUCCUAUGUUGUGAAAUCUUUGUUGGCUCCUUCUGAAGGAUUAUGGUUUUUAUCAGCACAUGAAUCAAGUGAGUUGUUUCAUUCCACGCAUCUGUUUUAUGUCUUACAUACAAUAAUUUUAACUCUUUGGCAGUAAACUUCGGUUUUGCACGUAUGCCUUGAUUAAAUCGGAAGAUAUUCUAUUUUUAUUACUACUGUGAGAAAGCCAUAGCCUUGCAUAAUCAAACAUAGAUGUCUACCUUUAAAAACAGAAAUGAUGGAUUUGUUUCUGUCCUUAUUUGAUAUUGUAAUUUUAAUAGACCCUUCCCUCACCCUACUCCGGAAAAAUAGACAUGAAAACCAAAUCCCACUGUAUGGCCAAAAACAAAAAUGUGACCUAUCCAUAUGAACUUUAUUUUUAAAGUUCAAUAUCUUGCAAAAUGUGAUGUUUUGCACAUGAUGUUGGAGCCUUACCACUAGAAAAUCUGUUCAUCAUUACUGUCCUUCCUCUUUGGCCAUUUCUGUAAUUUGGUGAAUGCACAUCAUUAGCAUUUAUGUAAUUGGUUGCUUAUAGUUUGAAGUCUAUAAAGUCUUGACAAUUCUUAUCCAAUUAAAGGCUUGUGUACCAGUUUGGAAAUUUUUGCGCUGCACUAAUUAAAAUUUUGUUGUAUAACUUCUGUCCUUGUAAAGUAAAUCAUGUUGGAAGUAUCCUGUGUUCUUUCUACUCUUAGUGUAGCAUGUAUAUUCAUUUCUUUCUUCAGAAAUCAUGUGUUAAACGGGGAGGAAAUUGCAUUUUAGCCUGAGCAUAGUACAAAUGCAACCAAUCCCCUAUGGAGCUUACUCAAAAAUUGGGAGGUAUCCUUUUGUAUAUUAUUAGCUGCCCAUGAUUAUUUAUUCUAUCAUUGGUGUUGAUCUGUCAUGGUUACUGAGAUAGGUGUAGUGGUUUGAUUGUGUGCUAUAUAUAUUUAGUAAUUUUAUUGGCUGUGCACUUUCGUGCAUCUUCUAAUUCUCUUGUUAAGUUGAACGCAUGUUACUCACACACAGAACUUUAGAAGACGAAUAUCUGUUCACCAUUGAGACACCUCAAAAGUGGAUGACUCAUAAAAUGAUAUGUAGUUGAUAGGAUUAAGUGAAAUCUCUCUCCUCUUUUAUUUGCACUCCAGAAGCUCAUAAAAAGCAUACAAUACAUAGAGCCCGUUUGGUACGGAUUAAAAUCUUAUUUUAAUCUAAGUCAACGUUAAACAAUCAAUAUUAACCACAUCUUUCAAGGAUCCCACAACUUUUCAACCACACAUUUCAAAAACUUAUAUCACAAUCUACUAAAAAAUUUAAUUUUAAUCCCUGUCAAACACCCUUACAUUUCAGUCCAUAGGUGUCCCCUCCUCCAGUGCAAAGGCCUUGAGAGCGGCAUGUUUGGUUGGACUAGUAUUAGGAAGGGAAGUGAAAGUGAACCACAUAUAGUUUGUCUGGUAAGUAAUAGAAGAGGGAGUGACAGAGAAGUGGAGCUUCCAAAUUGAAGUGGUUGGACUAAAUAAUACUAAGCCCCUAUUUGGUUUAGCUAAAGGUCUGAUUUUUAAUAGAUUUUGAUAAAAGUAGAUGAAAUAUGUGGUUGAAAAGUUGAAAAAAAGUUGUGGAUCCUAUGAAAUGUGUGGUUGAAAAUGAGCUGAGGAAAAAUGAGUUUUAGAAAGUGGGGGCCAAACAAAGGCUAAAUUAACCUCAAUUAGUAUAUAUAGUUGGAAACCAGGGUAUGACAGAAGGUUAAAUAAAAAUGUUAAACUCGUCCUCAAUUUCUCUUCUCCUUCCCUUCCGUUCCCCUACGCCAACUCUUUUCUUUCAACAAACAAGGCAGUGGAAUAAUACACCAGUAAAAGUGUGUUUGAGCAUGGUGUAGCUGGAAGAAGGUAUGAAAAUACAAAGGACAAGUUACUGGCAAAUUACUUCCUUACUUUUCACUUGUGGAGUAUACAUCUCCAUUCCUUUUCCCUCUCUCUUGGCAUCCUCUUUCAUUGAACCGAAGAUACCCAAGGGAAAGGAUAAGAUCUGGCUUCAGUUUAAACUAGGAUGGAAUGACAUGAUUUCAAAAUUAACAAUGUGUGGUGUGACUGAAGCACAAUUUCUUCUAUUAAUGCCACUUAAUUUCAGCGUGAUUUUGAUUUGGGAAUCUUUUGUUUAUUAUUCCUUCACCCCACCACCAGGAAAAAGGCAAAAGCUAUUGAGAAGAUUUACAUAAUAUGAAGUACGCUACUUUUAGAACCACUAUAUUUCAAGGGAGAAGUGGUAAUUUGUUACUACUUUACAUUUAGCCUUUUUUUUGUCAAAAUUAAUAUAUCAUUAUAAAUGGUCUAACUUUAUUUUCAACCACAAUUAAUAUCCUUUUAUUCACCACUCAUUUCUAUCUUUUAAUAGAUUAUAAACAGUUUAUAAAUUCUGUCCAAACGUGGCUUAAUUGAGUUAUUGACAUUUAUCACUUUUUUCUUUCAAUUUUAGAUGGAAGGAUACGAUUCUGAAGCUGUUCUGGAAGUCUGUAUGAAUGGCAAAGCUCUAGUCUGGAAGAUGAUAUGACAUGGUGAAACCUCUUAGCCAAGAUUGCAUUGUUAGUUGAACCUUUUAUUUGAGUAUUCGAACACUUCAUUUACCUUUUAUCAUAAUGUCACUUGAACAAUAUGAUGUUGUGGAUGAUAAUCAUGACUUGAAGUACUUUAGUGUUGAGAUCAGGAGGAUAAUUUACAAUGUUGCUAUUUGAAUGGAUUAGGAAUGAAGAUGCGGGAUGUUUAGUAUGUACCGCCUUUUCUGUUUGACUUUUUUUUUGUAAUUUUACCUUCUCCUUUUGUUAGGCUUACCGUGUUAAACAUGCCAAUUUAUGUGAUGAUUAUGUAAUUUGCUAACUAUACAAUAACGUGGUUAAUUUAACCCACGAAUUGUAUGUCUAAAUCUCAUGUAUAUAUUUCAAACAGAUCAAUCUUUUUUCAGUAAUUUACCAGGGGAUAACGUUCAUUUUGC